GCCCCCGUAGCUCAGCUGGUUAGAGCACCGGACUUUUAAUCCGGGUGUCGUCGGUUCAAGUCCGACCGGGGGUA
Molecule: transfer RNA, 74 nt
Filed under: Solirubrobacterales bacterium
Lineage: Bacteria; Bacillati; Actinomycetota; Thermoleophilia; Solirubrobacterales
Description: tRNA-Lys
Rfam family: tRNA
About the family: Transfer RNA (tRNA) molecules are approximately 80 nucleotides in length. Their secondary structure includes four short double-helical elements and three loops (D, anti-codon, and T loops).
Source: RNAcentral